This 490-nucleotide ribosomal RNA is filed under the name uncultured bacterium. RNAcentral's name for it is "partial 16S ribosomal RNA". It matches the Rfam family "Bacterial small subunit ribosomal RNA", at positions 30 to 507 of the family's 1533-position model. The record is from RNAcentral.
AUUGAACGCUGGCGGCAGGCCUAACACAUGCAAGUCGAACGGUAACAGGAAGAAGCUUGCUUCUUUGCUGACGAGUGGCGAACGGGUGAGUAAUGUCUGGGAAACUGCCUGAUGGAGGGGGAUAACUACUGGAAACGGUAGCUAAUACCGCAUAACGUCGCAAGACCAAAGAGGGGGACCUUCGGGCCUCUUGCCAUCGGAUGUGCCCAGAUGGGAUUAGCUUGUUGGUGGGGUAACGGCUCACCAAGGCGACGAUCCCUAGCUGGUCUGAGAGGAUGACCAGCCACACUGGAACUGAGACACGGUCCAGACUCCUACGGGAGGCAGCAGUGGGGAAUAUUGCACAAUGGGCGCAAGCCUGAUGCAGCCAUGCCGCGUGUAUGAAGAAGGCCUUCGGGUUGUAAAGUACUUUCAGCGGGGAGGAAGGGAGUAAAGUUAAUACCUUUGCUCAUUGACGUUACCCGCAGAAGAAGCACCGGCUAACUCCGUG